This 511-nucleotide ribosomal RNA is filed under the name uncultured bacterium. RNAcentral's name for it is "bacterial SSU rRNA". It matches the Rfam family "Bacterial small subunit ribosomal RNA", at positions 34 to 518 of the family's 1533-position model. The record is from RNAcentral.
CGCUGGCGGCGUGCCUAAUACAUGCAAGUCGAACGGUCUUUCUAUGGAAGCUUGCUUCCACUGAGAAGAUAGUGGCGAACGGGUGAGUAACACGUGGGUAACCUGCCCAUAAGAGGGGGAUAACAUCCGGAAACGGGUGCUAAUACCGCAUAGUUUUCUUGAUCGCAUGAUUGAGAAAGGAAAGACGGCCUUUGUGCUGUCGCUUAUGGAUGGACCCGCGGCGUAUUAGUUAGUUGGUGAGGUAACGGCUCACCAAGACGAUGAUACGUAGCCGACCUGAGAGGGUGAUCGGCCACAUUGGGACUGAGACACGGCCCAAACUCCUACGGGAGGCAGCAGUAGGGAAUCUUCCGCAAUGGACGAAAGUCUGACGGAGCAACGCCGCGUGAGUGAAGAAAGGUUUUCGGAUCGUAAAACUCUGUUGUCAGAGAAGAACAAGUUGGAGAGUAACUGCUCCAGCCUUGACGGUAUCUGACCAGAAAGCCACGGCUAACUACGUGCCAGCCGCUGC